GACGAACGCUGGCGGCGUGCCUAAUACAUGCCAGUCGUGCGGACCUUGUUGAAUGCUUGCUUGUACACGGUUAGCGGCGGACGGGGGAGCAACACGUGAGCAACCUGCCUGUAAGACUGGGAUAACGCCGGGCAACCGGGGCUAAUACAAGAGCGUUUUUUCCUCCGCGUGGGGGAAGAAGGAAAGGCGGCGUCGGCUGCCGCCUACAGAUGGGCCCGCGGCGCAUUAGCUAGUUGGCGGGGUAAUGGCUCACCGAGGCGGCGAUGCGUAGCCGACCCGAGAGGGUGGUCGGCCGCAUUGGGAGUGAGACACGGCACAAACUCCCACGGGAGGCAGCAGUAGUGAAUCGUCCGCAAUGGGCGAGAGUCUGACGGAGCAACGCCGCGUGAGUGAAGAAGGCCGUCGGGUCGUAAAACUCUGUUGCCGGGGAAGAACAAGUGUCGUUCGAACAGGGCGGCGCCUUGACGGUACCCGGCAAGAAAGCCACGGCUAACUACGUG
Molecule: ribosomal RNA, 500 nt
Filed under: uncultured bacterium
Lineage: Bacteria
Description: partial 16S ribosomal RNA
Rfam family: Bacterial small subunit ribosomal RNA
Source: RNAcentral